Molecule: ribosomal RNA, 498 nt
Filed under: uncultured bacterium
Lineage: Bacteria
Description: bacterial SSU rRNA
Rfam family: Bacterial small subunit ribosomal RNA
Source: RNAcentral
AUUGAACGCUGGCGGCAUGCCUUACACAUGCAAGUCGAACGGCAGCACGGACUUCGGUCUGGUGGCGAGUGGCGAACGGGUGAGUAAUGUAUCGGAACGUACCUUUCAGUGGGGGAUAACGUAGCGAAAGUUACGCUAAUACCGCAUAUUCUGUGAGCAGGAAAGCAGGGGAUCGCAAGACCUUGCGCUGAUUGAGCGGCCGAUAUCAGAUUAGCUAGUUGGUGGGGUAAAGGCCUACCAAGGCUACGAUCUGUAGCGGGUCUGAGAGGAUGAUCCGCCACACUGGAACUGAGACACGGUCCAGACUCCUACGGGAGGCAGCAGUGGGGAAUUUUGGACAAUGGGGGCAACCCUGAUCCAGCCAUGCCGCGUGAGUGAAGAAGGCCUUCGGUUGUAAAGCUCUUUCGGCCGGGAAGAAAUACGCAUAGGCUAAUAACCCUGUGUGGAUGACGGUACCGGAAGUAAGAAGACACCGGCUAACUACGUGCCAGCAGCCGG